AAAUCAUACGAUUGCGCCAAUUAGAAGAAAAAUGACUUCCCUCCUCCUUUAUUCGGACUUGGAAACGGCAGUUUACACGGCAAAUGUUUCCUUUUCUGAAACAUACUUUCUUCUUACUGCUGCUGCAUGGGUACUUCCUAAUUUAAUGUAUGUAGUAGCUUGUAACUUCACUUUAUUGUCCAAAAAGACAAACAUUGAAGGAUGAAAUACAUAAAACAGUUCAUAAUAAUUCCCGUGGAAUGCUUCUGCUCCAUUACUAGUACGUCUUGUGGUAGAUAGAGUUUCCG
Molecule: long non-coding RNA, 287 nt
Filed under: Mytilus galloprovincialis (Mediterranean mussel)
Lineage: Eukaryota; Metazoa; Mollusca; Bivalvia; Mytilida; Mytilidae
Source: RNAcentral